CCUACGGGAGGCAGCAGUGGGGAAUAUUGCGCAAUGGGCGAAAGCCUGACGCAGCGACGCCGCGUGAGGGAUGAAGGUCUUCGGAUCGUAAACCUCUGUCAGCAGGGAAGAACGGUCACUGUGCUAAUCAGCAGUGAAUUGACGGUACCUGCAAAGGAAGCACCGGCUAACUCCGUGCCAGCAGCCGCGGUAAUACGGAGGGUGCGAGCGUUAAUCGGAAUUACUGGGCGUAAAGCGCUCGUAGGCGGUAUGUCAAGUCAAGGGUGAAAUCCGCGCGCUCAACGUGGGAACUGCCUUUGAAACUGGGAAAGGUGAGGGUGAGAAGGGAAGGUGAAAU
RNAcentral lists this ribosomal RNA (337 nucleotides) under uncultured bacterium. RNAcentral's name for it is "partial 16S ribosomal RNA". It matches the Rfam family "Bacterial small subunit ribosomal RNA", at positions 338 to 667 of the family's 1533-position model. The record is from RNAcentral.